GAGGGUAUGGCUCAAAUGAUAGAGCACAUGCUUAGCAUGCACGAGGUCCUGGGUUCAAUCCCCAGUACUUCCA
RNAcentral lists this transfer RNA (73 nucleotides) under Camelus bactrianus (Bactrian camel). It matches the Rfam family "tRNA". Rfam says of the family: Transfer RNA (tRNA) molecules are approximately 80 nucleotides in length. Their secondary structure includes four short double-helical elements and three loops (D, anti-codon, and T loops). Further hydrogen bonds mediate the characteristic L-shaped molecular structure. tRNAs have two regions of fundamental functional importance: the anti-codon, which is responsible for specific mRNA codon recognition, and the 3' end, to which the tRNAs corresponding amino acid is attached (by aminoacyl-tRNA synthetases). tRNAs cope with the degeneracy of the genetic code in two manners: having more than one tRNA (with a specific anti-codon) for a particular amino acid; and 'wobble' base-pairing, i.e. permitting non-standard base-pairing at the 3rd anti-codon position. Lineage: Eukaryota; Metazoa; Chordata; Mammalia; Artiodactyla; Camelidae. RNAcentral also lists the same sequence under 2 other names. The record is from Rfam by way of RNAcentral.